CAAACCCUCAUCCCUGAACGAUUACAGGCCAGUUGCGCUGACCUCGGUAGUAAUGAAGGUGUUUGAGAGGCUGCUGAAGAACAUCAUCUCCUCCUCCAUCCCAGACACCACAGAUCCGCUCCAGUUCGCCUACCGACCCAACAGCUCCACUGAGGACGCCAUCGCCCACAUCCUGCACACCACCCUCAGCCACGUGGACAAGAAACAGGGGAAAACUUCUGACAAAAGCUACACCAGAAAAUCAUGGAGGCUUUGGAUGAUUGCAAACUUUCGGUUCUAAAUGCUGCCAACAUAGAUGAGGUCUUGCUCCACACCCUCAGUAGGGACAAUUUAAGGGACCUGCUUCCAGGGCCUGAAAAUUUUAUGAGGAGGAAUCAGUUGUGGGCUCAAGUUCACAAAGAGGCAAGUUUUGCCGCUUUUGAUUUAAAAACACCUAGCACAACACAUUUUGUUUAGGACUCCAGUAAUAUAACUAUUUUCGUUUUCUUAUUUAGGAUGAAACUAAAGAAAAGGGGUCUCAUGGAUAUCUCACCAUGUGACCAGGGAGAAGAUUAUGAUGCAGAUUCAAGUGGUGGAUUGUAUAAGAUAAAGGUCAG
Long non-coding RNA from Oreochromis aureus, 596 nucleotides. Lineage: Eukaryota; Metazoa; Chordata; Actinopteri; Cichliformes; Cichlidae. The record is from Ensembl.